AAUUAAAAUUUUCAUCCUUUUACAUUGUUAAAAACUAGCGUAGCUAACAAAAUAACCAGACAGUGACAUGUGAGAUGCCACGUGUAGCUCAUGCUGACGUACAAGAAUCAAUUUUUAACAGCAGAAAUAGGUAAAAUUUUAAUA
Non-coding RNA from Gossypium raimondii (Peruvian cotton), 144 nucleotides. The record is from Rfam. Lineage: Eukaryota; Viridiplantae; Streptophyta; Magnoliopsida; Malvales; Malvaceae.